This 448-nucleotide ribosomal RNA is filed under the name uncultured bacterium. Its description in RNAcentral is "bacterial SSU rRNA". It matches the Rfam family "Bacterial small subunit ribosomal RNA", at positions 330 to 792 of the family's 1533-position model. The record is from RNAcentral.
UCCAGACUCCUACGGGAGGCAGCAGUGGGGAAUAUUGGGCAAUGGGCGCAAGCCUGACCCAGCAACGCCGCGUGAAGGAAGAAGGCUUUCGGGUUGUAAACUUCUUUUCUCAGGGACGAAGCAAGUGACGGUACCUGAGGAAUAAGCCACGGCUAACUACGUGCCAGCAGCCGCGGUAAUACGUAGGUGGCAAGCGUUAUCCGGAUUUACUGGGUGUAAAGGGCGUGUAGGCGGCAAAGCAAGUCAGAUGUGAAAUCCAUGGGCUCAACCUGUGGCCUGCAUUUGAAACUGUUUUUCUUGAGUACUGGAGAGGCAGACGGAAUUCCUAGUGUAGCGGUGAAAUGCGUAGAUAUUAGGAGGAACACCAGUGGCGAAGGCGGCCUGCUGGACAGCAACUGACGCUGAGGCGCGAAAGCGUGGGGAGCAAACAGGAUUAGAUACCCCAGUA